Molecule: non-coding RNA, 45 nt
Filed under: Schistosoma mattheei
Lineage: Eukaryota; Metazoa; Platyhelminthes; Trematoda; Strigeidida; Schistosomatidae
Source: RNAcentral
ACUCAGCUGAAGAGUCCUAAAUAGGACGAAACGUGCAUCUUGAAU